CAAGAUCAGUCCACUCCACUCCAGUCAUGUCGUCAAUUGGGUUUUGGCCAAGUCUUCUCCGAUCAACCAGCUGCUUAUCGGCAAAGAACACUGUGAGUUAUGAUCAAUUGAUUGAUGACUUGUUUUCAUUCAGGUUCCUGUUACUUGGAAAUUGGAUCAUGGCAGGGGGCCGGGUCUAACUGAGUAACGGUUUGAUUAGUUAAUUGUUGAGGUUUGGUUGAUUGAGUUGAUAGCAUGCCUAGUUAUUGCUUGAGAACCGUAGUAGCAUGCUAAUGGUUAGGUUGAUUGGUUAGUUAGCGAAUGUUGAAUGCUUAGAUGAUAUCGCUAAGUUGUGGAUAGUUAGGUAUUCUGGAAUUAGUCUUUAUGCUAGAUUCUAGAAUGUGUUUGAUUGGGGUUGUGAUUACUAGUUGAAACCUUAUGUUAUUUUACCGGGUUUAGUAUUAGUCAUGUAUUGACCAUAUAGCAUUUGUGUAACCCACAAUGCUAGGCAUGUUUGAGGUGGAUUAGUGUUUCCUCGACGUCGUACCCAGCGGGUUUAAGGAAACCUCUUAAUCGCUGGAUUGAGAACACUCAGAGAGACGGGGUCAUGGCCUAUGGCUGAGUGCUUGCAUGACGGGGUAGUGACCGGCAGUGACCCGAACGUACUGUGGGCUGUGUUGCGGUGACCCGAACGUACUGUGGGCUACAAUAGUCGUGUGACAACUGGCAGUGGCCCGAACGUACUGGGGCUGUCGCGCGGUGACCCGAACGUACUAUGGGCCGCGUUCGGUUGAAAGUUCCUUCUUCUGGCCUUUGUGGUAGGGAGAUAGGAUAUUUCCGAGGAUAGAGGAGGAACACUAAGUCAAAAAGGGCCCUAGUGAUAGUGUAAAUGGUAUAGAGGGUUGUUGAACCCUAGAUUGAGUUGAGUUUGAGUUUAAGUGGUUAGCAAGUCAUUAGCGGUUAUGAUUUCAUAUCGUUAAUUAUCUUGCUGCGUAUUUCUGAUAUUGCUUAUCUAUUGAAUUGAAUUGAUUUAUUGUUAGGUGAACCUCUCGCUUUAGAUUGUUUACGGUGGGAUAGCGAGGGGUUGUAUUUGUUAGAUGGGGAUUCUAACUCACUGAGUAACAUUAGGUUACUCAUCCAACUUCGUUGUCCUUUUUGCAGGUAGCCUUAGGUAAGGAUGAUCGGAUCUUGGAUGAUGGACGUUAGGACCACCGGAGUAGAUUUCAUGUCUGUAGAUUUCAUUUCUUUUGUUAACGGUAAUGUGGAUUUGUGUAUAGUUGAC
RNAcentral lists this long non-coding RNA (1261 nucleotides) under Brassica napus (rape). Its description in RNAcentral is "long non-coding RNA (BNAP_LNC025680)". Lineage: Eukaryota; Viridiplantae; Streptophyta; Magnoliopsida; Brassicales; Brassicaceae. The record is from RNAcentral.